GACGAACGCUGGCGGCGUGCUUAACACAUGCAAGUCGAACGGAAAGGCCCUGCUUGCAGGGUACUCGAGUGGCGAACGGGUGAGUAACACGUGGGUGAUCUGCCCUGCACUUCGGGAUAAGCCUGGGAAACUGGGUCUAAUACCGGAUAGGAGCCAUUUUUAGUGUGAUGGUUGGAAAGUUUUUUCGGUGUAGGAUGAGCUCGCGGCCUAUCAGCUUGUUGGUGGGGUAAUGGCCUACCAAGGCGGCGACGGGUAGCCGGCCUGAGAGGGUGGACGGCCACAUUGGGACUGAGAUACGGCCCAGACUCCUACGGGAGGCAGCAGUGGGGAAUAUUGCACAAUGGGCGCAAGCCUGAUGCAGCGACGCCGCGUGGGGGAUGACGGCCUUCGGGUUGUAAACUCCUUUCGCCAGGGACGAAGCUUUUUGUGACGGUACCUAGAGAAGAAGCACCGGCUAACUACGUG
RNAcentral lists this ribosomal RNA (465 nucleotides) under uncultured bacterium. RNAcentral's name for it is "partial 16S ribosomal RNA". It matches the Rfam family "Bacterial small subunit ribosomal RNA", at positions 28 to 507 of the family's 1533-position model. The record is from RNAcentral.